RNAcentral lists this ribosomal RNA (468 nucleotides) under uncultured bacterium. Its description in RNAcentral is "partial 16S ribosomal RNA". It matches the Rfam family "Bacterial small subunit ribosomal RNA", at positions 28 to 507 of the family's 1533-position model. The record is from RNAcentral.
GACGAACGCUGGCGGCGUGCUUAACACAUGCAAGUCGAACGGAAACGCCCUGCUUUUUUCGGUUGCUCGAAUGGCUAACGGGUGAGUAACACGUGAGUAACCUGCCCUUUACUUUGGGAUAACUUCAGGUAACUUGGGCUAAUACCUGAUCGUAGCUCCUGCUGCAUGGUGGGGGUUGGAUACUUUCGGCGGUUCUGGAUGGACUCGCGGCUUAUCUGCUUGUUGGUGGGGUAGUGGCUUACCAAGGCUUUGACGGGUAGCCGGCCUGAGAGGGUGACCGGCGACAAGAGGACUAAGGAAGGGAGCAGACUGCUACAGGAGGCAACAGGGGGAAAUAUGACGAAGAGGGCGGAAGCCUAAUGAAGCGACGUCGGGGGAGGAAAGAAGGCCUUGGGGGUGUAAACCGAGUACAGCUGUGACGAAGCGUGAGUGACGGUAAUGGGUAAAGAAGCACCGGCUAACUACGUG